Long non-coding RNA from Anser brachyrhynchus (Pink-footed goose), 1636 nucleotides. The record is from Ensembl. Lineage: Eukaryota; Metazoa; Chordata; Aves; Anseriformes; Anatidae.
GAAUGCUUUCAAAGACCUGCUUAAACAAAAGCUGUGAACCUAAAUCAGUCUGCUCUAUUAGAAGCUGGAGGAGUGGUAUGUAGCAUACUGUAAGGAUCAACAUCAGUAUGCAGGAUGUAGCACACGAUCCUGGAGGCCAGUACAUCCAAGACACAGUGGUUCUGUGUUACUUUAAGAAGACUGUGAGAUGUAAUCACUGCAGGAGGUGAUUUUUCCUUUGAUAGCUUCUGCCCCAUGGAGCUGCUGAGCUUGCUCAAAAGGCACCAGCUUCCAGACAUGGCUGUAUGUGGCAGACCAAGGCAGUACCAGAAAGAGAGAGGAAGCCUGAGGAUCAUUCAGAGACAUGAUGUGAUAUCCAGACCUCACAGGUGUUGGAAAAGGACUUCCUGAAAAUCACAGAGGACUGGACAGUGUUCACUGCAAAUCAAGGACAUAUAAAAUCACACUUGGAAGAAGGGCUCUGCCUGCCAGAAAACAGCCAUUUGAUCAUGUUUUUAAUGUCCAUCUCACUUUACCUUGUCACUUUGUGUGUUUGGAAGCUGACUAUAUGAUUGGAAAAUAAAAAUGAAAAAUAAAAGUUAUAUUCUACAAGGAGAAAACCUAUUAAGAACUUGGUUGCCUGUGAAGAGACAGAAGGAAAUCUCUGUACCUUCCACUGUUGGAGAAAGUACAGGCAGAGACAUAUUAAGGCUCUGUUUAGUCAGUCAUAUCACACCACUGAUGGACUCAUUUAAGCUGCUGCAGUCAUGGAGAUCACUGAAUCAGGCUUUUGUGAAAACUGACAGCAUGUGGUGAUUUAACUUUUUGUAUUGCAUGAUUUGUGUAUCUUUCCUACCAUCUGACAACUAUAAGGCACAGUGUUCCUUCAGUUUAUUCAUGGAAAAAAGUUUACACAUUUUUGUGUAACGUAUGUAACGUGUAAUGUAUGUAGUUACACAUUUUUGUGUAACGUAUGUCUUUUUGUUGUUUUGAUUUUAAGUGAAUGUACUUAUAGAAAACUGAUUUUGAAAAUCAAGAUGUUUAUAUCCUUACAUUACAGAGAAUUAUUAAAAACAAAUGCUUCCUGUAUUCAUUAUGGCUUAGAGAUAAAAACAACUAGGUGAAUUACUGCCAGUGAAAUACUCCAGCUUUAACAAAGGUUUUCUCUAAUGAUGAUAGUAAUUACAGCUGAGUACGUUCCAGGACUUCAAAUUCUCAGGCACACAUUUCAUCCAUGCUGUCACUUGAGAUAUUUAGAUUUCAGAUUUUUAAAAUGAUAUAGCUGACCAAGUAUUUUUUCAUGGUGAUUGGAACAAGUAAAUAUGAGAUCAAAGCACUUUGUUACCAUCUCAAGAUGCUGAUAAAUAGCAACAUCAGAAUGGUGUGGAACAGAUGGAUGUUCUCAUUUGUAUACCAGGUGAGUAAUUUCUCUCCAAAUGGAAGGCUUCCAGCUCAGCUUUGUGGCAGUGCAGCAUAGUGUAGUGUGAAGUGUAGAAUAUUAUAUCUUAAUCUACUUUCAACUUAGUUUACAGGGUUGGGGAAUAACCAGUUAAUGAUCAAGAAAAUGAGAUGAUCACCUAUACAGAGGGAAGGAAGCCAGGUAUCUGAAGGUAUCAGAGUUUGUGAGAAACUUUGUGAUAUACUGUCUCUAGUAAUA